AUUGAACGCUGGCGGCAUGCCUUACACAUGCAAGUCGAACGGUAACGGGUCCUUCGGGAUGCCGACGAGUGGCGAACGGGUGAGUAAUAUAUCGGAACGUGCCCAGUAGUGGGGGAUAACUGCCCGAAAGAGCAGCUAAUACCGCAUACGACCUGAGGGUGAAAGGGGGGGAUCGCAAGACCUCUCGCUAUUGGAGCGGCCGAUAUCAGAUUAGCUAGUUGGUGGGGUAAAGGCCUACCAAGGCAACGAUCUGUAGUUAGUCUGAGAGGACGACCAGCCACACUGGGACUGAGACACGGCCCAGACUCCUACGGGAGGCAGCAGUGGGGAAUUUUGGACAAUGGGCGCAAGCCUGAUCCAGCAAUGCCGCGUGCAGGAAGAAGGCCUUCGGGUUGUAAACUGCUUUUGUCAGGGAAGAAAUCUUCUGGGCUAAUACCCCGGGAGGAUGACGGUACCUGAAGAAUAAGCACCGGCUAACUACGUGCCAGCCGCCGCAGUAA
This 500-nucleotide ribosomal RNA is filed under the name uncultured bacterium. RNAcentral's name for it is "partial 16S ribosomal RNA". It matches the Rfam family "Bacterial small subunit ribosomal RNA", at positions 30 to 523 of the family's 1533-position model. The record is from RNAcentral.